RNAcentral lists this ribosomal RNA (253 nucleotides) under uncultured bacterium. RNAcentral describes it as "partial 16S ribosomal RNA". It matches the Rfam family "Bacterial small subunit ribosomal RNA", at positions 524 to 776 of the family's 1533-position model. The record is from RNAcentral.
UACGUAGGGGGCUAGCGUUAUCCGGAAUCAUUGGGCGUAAAGCGCGCGUAGGCGGCCAGAUAAGUCCGGUGUGAAAGUCACAGGCUCAACCUGUGAAUGCCGCUGGAAACUGUCUGGCUAGAGUCCGGAAGGGGCGAGUGGAAUUCCUGGUGUAGCGGUGAAAUGCGCAGAUAUCAGGAGGAACACCAAUGGCGAAGGCAGCUCGCUGGAACGGUACUGACGCUGAGGCGCGAAAGCGUGGGGAGCGAACAGG